GUGAGGUAACGGCUCACCAAGGCGAUGACGGGUAGCUGGCGUGAGAGCGCGAUCAGCCACACUGGGACUGAGACACGGCCCAGACUCCUACGGGAGGCAGCAGUGGGGAAUCUUGCACAAUGGGCGCAAGCCUGAUGCAGCGACGCCGCGUGGGGGAGGAAGGCCCUAGGGUUGUAAACCCCUGUCAGGUGGGAAGAGCAAGAGGUCGGCGAACAGCCGGCCUCCCCGACGGUACCACCAGAGGAAGCUCCGGCUAACUCCGUGCCAGCAGCCGCGGUAAAACGGAGGGAGCGAGCGUUGUCCGGAAUUACUGGGCGUAAAGAGUGCGUAGGCGGCCAUGUAAGUCGUGUGUGAAAGGCCGGGGCUUAACCCCGUGUAUGGCAUACGAUACUGCAUGGCUGGAGACAGGUAGGGGCGAGCGGAAUUCCCGGUGUAGCGGUGGAAUGCGUAGAUAUCGGGAGGAACACCAGUGGCGAAGGCGGCUCGCUAGGCCUGAUCUGACGCUGAAGCACGAAAGCGUGGGGAGCAAACAGGAUUAGAUGCCCUGGUAGUCCACGCCGUAAACGCUGGGCACUAGAUGUCGGGGGGCUUGGCCCCCCCGGUGUCGCAGCUAACGCAUUAAGUG
RNAcentral lists this ribosomal RNA (625 nucleotides) under uncultured bacterium. Its description in RNAcentral is "bacterial SSU rRNA". It matches the Rfam family "Bacterial small subunit ribosomal RNA", at positions 252 to 866 of the family's 1533-position model. The record is from RNAcentral.